Molecule: ribosomal RNA, 468 nt
Filed under: uncultured bacterium
Lineage: Bacteria
Description: partial 16S ribosomal RNA
Rfam family: Bacterial small subunit ribosomal RNA
Source: RNAcentral
GACGAACGCUGGCGGCGUGCUUAACACAUGCAAGUCGAACGGUGAAGCUCCAGCUUGCUGGAGUGGAUCAGUGGCGAACGGGUGAGCAACACGUGAGCAACCUGCCCCUUACUCUGGAAUAAGCGCUGGAAACGGCGUCUAAUACUGGAUACGAGAAGGGUCCGCAUGGGCACUUUCUGGAAAGUUUUUCGGUUGGGGAUGGGCUCGCGGCCUAUCAGCUUGUUGGUGAGGUAAUGGCUCACCAAGGCGACGACGGGUAGCCGGCCUGAGAGGGCGACCGGCCACACUGGGACUGAGACACGGCCCAGACGCCUACGGGAGGCAGCAGUGGGGAAUAUUGCACAAUGGGCGAAAGCCUGAUGCAGCGACGCCGCGUGAGGGAUGACGGCCUUCGGGUUGUAAACCUCUUUCAGCAGGGAAGAAGCGAAAGUGACGGUACCUGCAGAAGAAGCACCGGCUAACUACGUG